UACGUAGGGGGCAAGCGUUGUCCGGAAUCAUUGGGCGUAAAGCGCGUGUAGGCGGUCCGGUAAGUCUGCUGUGAAAGUCGGGGGCUCAACCCUCGGAAGCCGGUGGAUACUGCUGGGCUAGAGUGCGGAAGAGGCGAGUGGAAUUCCUGGUGUAGCGGUGAAAUGCGCAGAUAUCAGGAGGAACACCAAUUGCGAAGGCAGCUCGCUGGGACGUGACUGACGCUGAGACGCGAAAGCGUGGGGAGCAAACAGG
RNAcentral lists this ribosomal RNA (253 nucleotides) under uncultured bacterium. RNAcentral's name for it is "partial 16S ribosomal RNA". It matches the Rfam family "Bacterial small subunit ribosomal RNA", at positions 524 to 776 of the family's 1533-position model. The record is from RNAcentral.